RNAcentral lists this long non-coding RNA (5426 nucleotides) under Fragaria vesca (wild strawberry). RNAcentral's name for it is "long non-coding RNA (FVES_LNC004527)". Lineage: Eukaryota; Viridiplantae; Streptophyta; Magnoliopsida; Rosales; Rosaceae. The record is from RNAcentral.
CAACCAACAAUGGAUUUGAUUGCUUAUCAAGAACUAAAAAAAUUAAAGCACAUCCAGCAUGUUACAUUUUAUCUGAUAGUUACAGUGUACAGAUCAAUGCAAGCAAACUUAACAUCCUCAAACAUUUCAAACCUAAGGUCAGAUCACACGAACUUUGAAACCAUUAAUAAUCCCAAUAAUCUAACAUUCAUGACCAAGAGCAGCAAGAUUAGACAAAGCCGCAAAGGUCCUUGGGAACUGCAAGAUCAGUCUCCAUAGAUGAUAGUACCAGACUGCAAAAAAAAAAAGCAAAACAAGCAGAAUUUGAAACUUACAAAACCAAGCAGAAGCAAAGACAGUAUGGAUAGUAAAGAGAAUAUAUGCAUCAAUCUAUUUCAAAAUGCAAUUUUGUUCUCUAAGAUUGGAAAAGCCGAGUAUAUUGGCUAAAUGAUCACUAGAAAUUGAACUAGGCUCAUGAGAAACCAUUAUGUAGGUUAGAAGAAGACACAACAAAUUUGAAUGUACGUGCAGCUAACAAAUAUACAGGCCUAACUUUAAACUCCCGGAUAAAGUACACACCUUGAGCAUACGAGGCAAAAUAGACAACAAACACCAUAAUGCCACAUAAAAACAAGUAUAACUAUAAAUUUCUCAAAUAAUAAUUACCCUGUUGAACCUGGCACGAUACAUGUAUACCCUCAGCCGAUACAAAGUGAAUCUACAAAGGAACAGAGGAACUUAAUCUAUAAGAUAACCAAUCAACCACUCAACAAAAGACAAUGUACAAAAAGCAAAAAAAAUUGGUUCAGUAUACAGUAGUUAAAACAACCCUGGGAACAAUUUGGAAUUGAACUCGGCACCAAGAAUGCCACUGUCACGAUAGUUCAUCAGAAUAAGGAUCGAUCCCCUCACCACUUGCACGUUACUUUCCAGAUUCGUCCACAUUUCAUAUCUUGGUGAAAAGUGAAAACACUCUCGUGCGAAAUGCCUCAACAUCAUUGGAGCUAGUGACAACUUAUGUUUAAGUCCAUUACAUACAUUAUACCAGUGUAGUUAUCUCAGCUAAGACCAGGCCUAUCAUUGUUCGAGAAGAACUGCAAACACAAGUAAAAAGAACUUUCUUGAAAGAAUUUUCUUGCUAAGGGGAGACACAAGGAUAACAACAAUCAGUACGUAAAUUUUGAAGAGUACCUGACUGAAGUGGGAGGUGCAACAGUCCUUAGAUUCAAAGUUUGCAAACAAUUGCAAACCAAGUACAAUCAGCACAAUCACCGAAUAAUCGUGAUCAAUCUACAACAUGAAAGUAGAGGCAGGAAAAAGGCAUUAAAGAACGGCAACAUCAGAAAGAUAAGAGAAAUAGACGAAAAAGUAAUGGAGUAAAUAGUGGUGAUCUUUGGACACAACUGCUGGAUAGAAGUGCAAGUCUGAAUUAUUACUACAAUGAUUCCUUAUCUAAUAGGCUCUAUCUGGUCCCUGUGACCCUUAUUGUCUAGAAGUAGCGAAAGAUGUUUGGUUAGAAAAAUGGACAGCAGCAUAUGCAUCUGCUAGGGGAUGAGUUACGUGAAUGGCCAGACAACCCCAUGUGAUUUCUUGAUUUGAAAAAGAUAAUAUAGACGAUCUUUCAAACACCCAAUCUUCAUCUACGUAUAUAGACAUACUUCAUGAUCAGUAACUCAUCUCCUCUCAUUCCUCAAACAUCAAAGCUUUCCUUUCAAGUCUUUUUAUUGUUGAUCCACUUGGGAAUAUAAAAUCCAUGGGUUUCAAGCUGCCUGCUAUAGUUAGCCCCAAGAAAAGUCUCACCCGAUCUUCGUCUAACGCAAACAAGACAGCUUCAAAGAUCUUAGAUAUCCCGAAAGGCUAUUUUGCAGUCUAUGUUGGAAAAAGCCAGAAGAAGCGAUUCGUGAUCCCAAUAUCAUACUUGAACCAACCUUCAUUCAUGGAUUUGCUGAGUCAAGCUGAAGAUGAAUUUGGAUACGAUCAUUUCAUGGGUGGUAUCACAAUCCCAUGCAGUGAAAACACCUUCCUAGAUCUCACUUCAAGCUUAAGUGCGUGACUGAGCAAUGAGAUGAAAAUAUGAUCCAACUUCAUAUAUUAAAUGCAUCCGAGUUUCAGACAUGCUGCUGAGUCAAGAUGAAGAAGAGGAAAGUCUCACGAUUAUUCAUCAACUGAAUCCAUUCAUUGCUUUUCCUGAGGGGAAGCUUCGGUGACAAUGAAGCUGCAAUGGAGCUGUACUGAAAGAUACGCAAGUUAUGAAGCAGACAAAUGACAAUAUUGUGUGCAGCAAUCUUUUUAACAACCACAGUUCCGGUUUUGAACUGAAACAAACUGAAAUUAUGUAUUCAAAAACCCAUGUAAACUUGGUUCUCCCAGGAUCAAAAUUCUUGAAUCAAAGAACAUACGAUAAUUCUCAUCCACUUGCAGCAUAUUCACACACACAAAGAGAAAACAAUGUCUGAAAGCUUACAGAAUAAUUCGGCAUCAUAUUAGAUGAAAAACGGCGAAUACUACCCCAGUAAAGGAUUAAUGACUUCAGCAUGAUUGCUUCUGCAGCAUGCAUACAAGUUUUAUUGGACAGUAACAGGAUUGGCAAUACGAAUAGGAGUAUUAGAAAUGCAACAAACUGGGAGGACAGGGUCAUACGCAUCAAUACAUUCCACAAACUUAGAAAUUUAUCAAAUUUUUACAUUCCACAAACCCAAGAAUACACAAAGUUUAAAUAUAUAUCCAGUUCAAGCAUUAAAAAGAGAAUAGGUCUUCAGACGCAUUUCAUCGAACAGUUGGAGGACAACAUUUCAGUUGUUUUAUAGGAGCUGGUAGACUGAGUGUCAGUGAUUUUUGUUUCACAUAUAGCACCAAAAACGAAAGACCCAGAACUCAAACACUACCAGAAUGGAACAGAAAACGAGAAACCCAGAACUCAAACACUACCUGGAAAAAAAGCCAAGAAAAUUUGGACCAUUUCUCGAUUUAUGCGUGUCAAACUUGCGCAGGAGCUAUGUUAAUCUUUUUUCUAUCGUUCCAAUUUUAUCGGAUGUCCCCGAAGGGACACACCCUACUACCUUGUCUUCGUAUAUCAACAGUCUCAUAUUUCGCUUUUCUUCGGUGUGGGAGUCUUGGAACCAAUAUUACAAAAGUACGUGCGCCUCACGUGUCCUCCCUUGAGUGUAAUUCUAUGAGAGUAGGCUGCUAUAUAGGUUCAAUAAUCUUCAAGAUCUUGAUACAAUAAGUUCUUAUUUACUGAUAUAUGAUGUAUUGAAAGUAUAUUAUUAAUUCCUGAUAUAGUGAGGAAGUUAAAGAGGACGCCCGUAAAUGAAAAUGCAGCUGUCCAUCAUGUCUUGCAAUCUUUAAUUUGCAGACACCGGCAAACAUGAAAAGGAGCCUAUAGCACCUCCGCUUCCUCCUCUUCCUACCACUCAUCAAUGCAUACGCCAGCACCCCGAUAUUGGGUUAACCUCACUGCACACAACCUCUCCUACACUCAUCUCCCCGAUAUCAGGUUCCCCCAACUACUGUAAAAGCCUAAGACUAAUGCAUAUAUGCCGUAAUCAAGUCGGUCACUUUAGCUGCAAACAUUUUGUUAAAGAUUUGCCAUUGUCGGCCUGAUCGAGUGGCAAUGGGAGAUCUACCCUCUGCAAAUAGUGAUGUCGGGUGAGAGAUGAAGACUUCAAUCUCAAAACACAAAUAACUCGUCCUGCUCAUCAGAAUAUGCGGAUGCACAAGAAGAUAAUCUGCCUCCCCUACUGACUGGAAGAGACUUUGAUAUUCACUGCCAUGUUUCGUUGCACAGACUAUCACCGAUGCAUUGUAACGCAAAUUGUCAAACACCAAGUGAAUUGUGAUAGCCAUGGCAUCAGAGAUGAGCUUGAUAACAAAAUUGAAAGCAGAAAAUUGAGAGAGAAAGAAACUGAGAGCAAAUCAAACCCUUUUGCUUAUAAUAGCAUAGAAUUCAUUACAAAAGAGAAUAAAGUCAGAUAGUUAUUUAUACAAGAGAAAAUGAAAUCAUAAGCUUUCUAACAGAAUUGACAGCUGGAAUAUAGCUGUCAAAAUACAAGUGACAUAAAGAUUCUAGAAUCUGUUAGAAGAAUAACAGACUAGCUAGUCCACUCUUCCAUUCUUCUUCUACUACAGUCAACAACCUCCCUCAAGCUCAGCUAGGGUUACUAGCCUGAGAUUGACACAGUGAGUUCGAAAAAGAGGAGAAGGCAAGCCCUUUGUCAAUAUGUCUACUGUUUGUUCAGUAGUAGAAACAUACUGAAGAUGGAGAUCAUUGCGUUGAGCACGUUCACGAACAAAAUGGAAAUCAUUAUCCAAAUGCUUGAUCUUUGAAUGAAAAACUGGAUUAGAAGCUAAGGCAAGAGCUAAAAGAUUAUCACACUUAAGAAUAGGAGGACUAGGAACCCGAAUCUUCAAAUCACACAGCAAAUGCCUUAUCUAGCUAACUUCAACAGCAGUGUUUGCAAGACUGCGAUAUUCAGACUUUGUAGAACUUCGAGACACAGUUCCCUGCUUCUUUGAUUGCCAUGAAACAGGACACAUACCAAGAUACACAACAAAACCAGUAGUGGAUCGUUUCUGUAUUACCUCUCCAGCCCAGUCAGCAUCACAGAAGGCUUUAAUAUGCACUGCAUUUGUCAAGGCACCAGAAGAGCUAUAAAAAAGACCUUUAGCUACAAUGAUGUAGAACGAGAAUGGGCCAAAUUUAGACAGAAAAAAAUAAAAGUAUGGAAACGGCGAAUAAUCAGAAAGAAUGAUUUAAAGAUCGGUAACUCUCGUAUCAUGAGGUCGCUAGCCGCUGGAAUAUUCAAGAAUAUGUUGUUUUGGACUUUUCGGGUUUGCCGCGCAAAAUCUGUUAAAUCUGAUUUGGAGUAUCUUUUGGCCAGAAUGUCAGUUUGGGAUGCAUGAUACCUUUCCGGAAUGGGAACGAUGAGAUCUACAAGACUCACUUAUGUGAGCCCUGUCAGAUAUAGGCCAAAAGAUAUCAUUUUGUUAAUCCGAUUCGGCAUUCAAUAUUAUUUUAGGUUUUCUAGUUUAUUUUGGAUUUGGUUUUCUUUUAAUCUUUGGGCUUUUAGGCUUUGUUGUUCGUUGCCCUAUGGUUUAUCUGCUCCUAUAUAAGGAGCCUUUAUCAGUUGUAGUCGUCAAGCUUUUGAUAUUAAUAAAAAAACCUUUGAGUUUAUCUCAAUUCUCUAGUGGAUUCCAGAUUAUCUCUCGUGGAUUCGAGAAAACCAGACUUGUGGAUUCAAGUCGCCGUUGGUGGAUUCCAACGUUAUCUAUUUCCGCUGCAUCAAUUGGUAAUCAGAGCUGGAUUUUUUCCUGGUGGUUAUGAUCUCGUAGUCAUGGGUGAUCAAGUUCUUGUUACCUGCCAACCUCAACAACGCUGGUCGUAGAGAUCUGUCCAAAAUUGAAGAGGAAAAUACCAAGGGAUUUGCCCUAGGUUAGCCUCAUCAAUU